RNAcentral lists this long non-coding RNA (1234 nucleotides) under Capra hircus (goat). RNAcentral describes it as "lncRNA (ENSCHIG00010004187.1)". The record is from RNAcentral. Lineage: Eukaryota; Metazoa; Chordata; Mammalia; Artiodactyla; Bovidae.
AUAUUCAGAAGAGGUGGCAAGAAUACACAGAAGAACUAUACAAAAAAGAUAUUCGUGACCCAGAUAACCAUGAUGGUGUGAUCCCUCACCUAGAACCAGACAUCCUGGAGUCUGCAGUCUGGUUACAGAGAGUUAAGUCUUAAGACUCAACUUUGCUUAGAAAUUGAGCAUGUCAUCUACAACAGCAUGACGCAGACGUGUGCUGGACAAGGACGCCACAGAUUGUCAAAUUCUGUAGGCUUUGUGUCCAACAGCAAAGAUGUCUGAGUUUAAUGCCAGGACUUGAGAGCUCAGGAGAGGUUGUCACCAUAUUCAUGUCCCACGUUUGGGAGGCACAAAGGUGAGUGAACACAGAGCAGCCCUACUCACGGAAGGCCAGGCUCCAUCUAAUCUGCACAGAUACCAGAGAUACCACAGGGCCAGCACAGCCAGCCCCAGCGUGGAGGGCCGUGUAAAGGGUGCUUUGCCAUGUGUUGCUGUCCCUCAGUCUGUCUUGACUCUCUGCAACCCCACGGAUUGCGCGCGCCAGGCUUCCCUGUCCUUCACUGUCUCCAGGAGCUGGCUCAGACUCAUGUGCAUUGAGUUGGUGAUGCCAUGCAACCAGCCUGUCCUCUGUUGUCCCCUUCUCCUCCUGCCCUCAGUCUUUCCCAGCAUCAANNNNNNNNNNNNNNNNNNNNNNNNNNNAUCAGGUGGCCAAAGUACUGGAGCUUCAGCUUCAGCAUCAGUCCCUCCAACGAGAGCCGUAAGCCCAGAGCAGCAGAGCAGGAGGAGCUGAGAAGCCACAGGACGGCGCUCGCCCAGCCCGAACCACGACCCCCACUGGACCUUGGGAGUGGCCCUGCCAUGCUGCUUGGGAAGAUAGGCAAGGUCAAGCCCGCCACGUCUGUGAAGACGCUUCCUGCUCCUGCCUCCGCUCACUGCCUGCGGGAAGUGGCCAUCACUCUGCAUUUCCUUGUGAAAGGGGAAGAGGGUCAACUCUCACUAAGAGGUCACCUUCCUAGUUUGGGCUCAGAGUCGGCAGGUACCAGAGGUGUCCUGUGGGUACCACAGACCAGCGUCAGGAGUGUGGACAAGACCCCCAGGCAUGAGCCACACGGGAGGAAUUAUAACUUCCUUCAAGUAUCUUACUUCACCCCAACACAACUGUGUGAUCCAGCUUUGUUAAUUUCAUCAGUUCAGUUCAGUUCAGUUCAGUUCAGUCGCUCAGUCGUGUUCGGCUCUUUGCGACCCCAUG